Molecule: ribosomal RNA, 2139 nt
Filed under: human gut metagenome
Description: bacterial LSU rRNA
Rfam family: Bacterial large subunit ribosomal RNA
Source: RNAcentral
UGUUGCUUGCAAGGGCGUAUGGUGGAUGCCUUGGCAGACAGGACCGAUGAAGGACGUUUGAGGCUGCGAUAUGCCUCGGGGAGCCGCCAACAGGGCUUUGAUCCGAGGAUUUCCGAAUGGGGGAACCCACCGACCGUCAUGGGUCGGUACCGGCUUCGGCCGGGGGGUACGCAGGGAAGUGAAACAUCUCAGUACCUGCAGGAAAGGAUAUUCCGUGAGUAGUGGCGAGCGAAAGCGGAUGAUGGCCAAACCUUGCGCGUGUGAUACCCGUCGGGGGUUGCGCGCGGGGUGUUGCGGGAUCGCGUGUGCCGGCUCCGACGGGCCGGCCGGCAGUUGCAGAAAACCAUGUGUCAGGGGAACCGGGUUGAAUACCGGGCCGCAGAGGGUGAGGGCCCCGUACCUGAACGCGCAUGGUCUGCCGAUCGCGUCUCCCAAGUAGCACGGGUCCCGUGGAACCCCGUGCGAAUCCGCCCGGACCGUCGGGUAAGCCUGAAUAUUCCUGUCUGACCGAUAGCGAACGAGUACCGUGAGGGAAAGGUGAAAAGUACCCCGGGAGGGGAGUGAAACAGUCUCUGAAACCGUGCGCCUACAAUCCGUCGGAGCCCUUUUGUGGGGUGACGGCGUGCCUAUCGAAAAAUGAGUCUGCGAGUCAGUGGCAUGUGGCGAGCAUAACCCGUGUGGGGUAUGCGUAGCGAAGGCGAGUCUUAAAAGGCGUUUGAGUCGCGUGUCCUGGACCCGAAGCGGGAUGAUCUAGCCCUGAGCAGGUUGAAGCGCGGGUAAGACCGCGUGGAGGACCGAACCCACCUGGGUUGAAAACCGGGGGGAUGACUUGGGGCUAGGGGUGAAAGGCCAAUCAAAUUCCGUGAUAGCUGGUUCUCUCCGAAAUGCAUUUGGGUGCAGCGUCGGGUCAUUACGUCCCGGGGGUAGAGCUACUGGAUGCUUGCGGGCCCGUAUCGGGUACCAACAGCAACCAAACUCCGAAUACCGGUGACGCGUAUCCCGGCAGUGAGUCGGCGGGGGAUAAGCUUCGUCGUCGAAAGGGAAACAGCCCAGACCGUCGUCUAAGGUCCCGAAGCGUGUGCUAAGUGGGAAAGGAUGUGGAGUCGCAUAGACAGCCAGGAGGUUGGCUCAGAAGCAGCCACCCUUGAAAGAGUGCGUAACAGCUCACUGGUCUAGUGGUUCCGCGCCGACAAUGUAGCGGGGCUCAAGCACACCACCGAAGACGCGGCAGUAUUUUGUACUGGGUAGGAGAGCGUCCCAUGAGGGGCGAAGCGGCCGUGUGAACGCGCCGUGGACUUCAUGGGAGUGAGAAUGCAGACAUGAGUAGCGAGAGACGGGUGAAGAUCCCGUCCGCUGGAUGACCAAGGGUUCCAGGGCCACGUUCAUCGUCCCUGGGUGAGUCGGGUCCUAAGGCGAGGCCGACAGGCGUAGUCGAAUGGAUGAACGGGUCGAUAUUCCCGUACCGGCUUUCAGCCGCCAAAACCGAGGCUUGGAGUACUAACCUCCGGGUCCGGGCUUACUGCUCCUUCGGGGGCGGGAUGCCCUGGCCUGUUGGGACCGAUCCUUGUAGUAGGUCAGCGCAGGAGUGACGCAGAAGGGUAGCCGGCCGCGGAGGUGGUCUUCCGUGGUCAAGCACGCAGGGCGUGGGACAGGCAAAUCCGUCCCGCAUGGGUCCGAGGUGCGAUGAUGGGGGCCUUAUGGCCCGAUAUCCGGUGAUCCCGGCUGCCGAGAAAAGCUUCGGCGUCAGGCUCAAAGCCGCCCGUACCCCAAACCGACACUGGUGGUCAGGUAGAGAAUACCAAAGCGAUCGAGCGAAUCCUGGUCAAGGAACUCGGCAAAUCACUCCCGUUCCUUCGGUUUAAGGGAGACCCCCGAUGGUGAACCGCCUCGCGCGGGGAGCUUUUGGGGGUGGCACAGACCAGGGGGUAGCGACUGUUUACCAAAAACACAGGUGCAUGCGAAGGCGCAAGCCGCUGUAUAUGCACUGACGCCUGCCCGGUGCCGGAAGGUUAAGAGGAUCCGUCAGCCUUCGGGUGAAGCGGUGAAUUCAAGCCCCGGUAAACGGCGGUGGUAACUAUAACCAUCCUAAGGUAGCGAAAUUCCUUGUCGGGUAAGUUCCGACCUGCACGAAUGGCGUAA